RNAcentral lists this ribosomal RNA (845 nucleotides) under uncultured bacterium. RNAcentral's name for it is "bacterial SSU rRNA". It matches the Rfam family "Bacterial small subunit ribosomal RNA", at positions 25 to 902 of the family's 1533-position model. The record is from RNAcentral.
CAGAAUCAACGCUGGCGGCGCGCCUAACACAUGCAAGUCGCACGAGAAAGCCGGGGCAACCUGGUGAGUAAAGUGGCGUACGGGUGAGUAACACGUGGGUUACCUGCCCUCUAGUGGGGAAUAACCCUGGGAAACCGGGGCUAAUACCGCAUAAUCCCGUGAGGGGAAAGCAGCAAUGCGCUGGAGGAGGGGCCCGCGGCCGAUUAGCUAGUUGGUAGGGUAACGGCCUACCAAGGCUAUGAUCGGUAGCCGGCCUGAGAGGGCACACGGCCACACUGGCACUGAAACACGGGCCAGACUCCUACGGGAGGCAGCAGUGGGGAAUCUUGCACAAUGGGGGAAACCCUGAUGCAGCGACGCCGCGUGAGCGAUGAAGCCCUUCGGGGUGUAAAGCUCUUUCGGCAGGAACGAUAAUGACGGUACCUGCAGAAGAAGCUGCGGCUAACUACGUGCCAGCAGCCGCGGUAAUACGUAGGCAGCAAGCGUUGUUCGGAGUUACUGGGCGUAAAGAGUGUGUAGGCGGUUUGCCAAGUUCGGUGUGAAAUCUCCCGGCUUAACUGGGAGGGUGCGCCGAAAACUGGCAGGCUUGAGUGCGGGAGAGGAGAGCGGAAUUCCUGGUGUAGCGGUGAAAUGCGUAGAUAUCAGGAGGAACACCUGCGGUGUAGACGGCUCUCUGGACCGCCACUGACGCUGAGACACGAAAGCGUGGGUAGCAAACAGGAUUAGAUACCCUGGUAGUCCACGCCCUAAACGAUGCAUACUUGGUGUGGGCAGUUCAUUCUGUCCGUGCCGAAGCUAACGCGUUAAGUAUGCCGCCUGGGGAGUACGGUCGCAGGCUGAAACUC